GUUCUUUUUUGCUUUUUGAAGAAACCGUGCUGUGGGUUUUUUUGCCCAAUAGAGCGAAGGAUCAAUGAUAAAGGAGCCAUCUUUUUCAGGUGCUGGCUAAUAUGAGGAGAGAAUGUGGGCUGCAUAAUGUGACAUGCAAAGUGCUGGGACUUACAUGGGGUGUUUGGGAUGAACAGAUAUUCACCCUGUGCCCAAAUAUUAUCCUUGGAGCUAAUGUCCUAUAUGAAAC
Non-coding RNA from Coffea arabica (coffee), 229 nucleotides. The record is from RefSeq and is a predicted model, not a curated record. Lineage: Eukaryota; Viridiplantae; Streptophyta; Magnoliopsida; Gentianales; Rubiaceae.